GACGAACGCUGGCGGCGUGCUUAACACAUGCAAGUCGAACGGAAAGGCCCUGCUUUUGUGGGGUGCUCGAGUGGCGAACGGGUGAGUAACACGUGAGUAACCUGCCCUUGACUUUGGGAUAACUUCAGGAAACUGGGGCUAAUACCGGAUAGGAGCUCCUGCUGCAUGGUGGGGGUUGGAAAGUUUCGGCGGUUGGGGAUGGACUCGCGGCUUAUCAGCUUGUUGGUGGGGUAGUGGCUUACCAAGGCUUUGACGGGUAGCCGGCCUGAGAGGGUGACCGGCCACAUUGGGACUGAGAUACGGCCCAGACUCCUACGGGAGGCAGCAGUGGGGAAUAUUGCACAAUGGGCGGAAGCCUGAUGCAGCAACGCCGCGUGCGGGAUGACGGCCUUCGGGUUGUAAACCGCUUUCGCCUGUGGCGAAGCGUGAGUGACGGUAAUGGGUCAAGAAGCACCGGCUAACUACGUG
This 468-nucleotide ribosomal RNA is filed under the name uncultured bacterium. Its description in RNAcentral is "partial 16S ribosomal RNA". It matches the Rfam family "Bacterial small subunit ribosomal RNA", at positions 28 to 507 of the family's 1533-position model. The record is from RNAcentral.